GACCUAGUAAGAUUCCAGUAUAAAAGACAUGCUCAAUCACCUUACAUUGAACUCUCAAGUGAUCUGACAACUUAAAUUAAACUCAACUCUAAAAGUAAUAUAAACGAAUGUUUUAAAGAGUCAAAGUGCAACAGAUAGGUAUGGGCACUAGCAAUAAAGACAGCCAUCAAAGGACACCACUUGUCUGCAUGGAAUUGUUUGAUACUUGCUUCCAACAAUCAUGUUGGCAGAGACCCACUCAAAGGCAAAAUGAUUCCCCAACUUUAAAAUAGUAGUUCAAAAGAAACCUUCAGGUCGAGAAAGAAACCUUAAACAAAGUGAGCAUGCCAGUAAAAGGUUUGACAAGAUUAAAGCCAAAGUAAGCAGCACAACCCACCUCACUGAUGCUGUUGAGCACUGGCAGGGCUGAGGGGCAUAGAACAGGGACUCCUUUUCUCCAUCCAGCAUCUGUGGCAUCCAAAGGUAUUAAAAGAUAUACCUAACCUAUAUGAUGUUCUCAUCUUCACGACAUCAGCUGUAUUUUUGUAUUAUUUCCGAUCUCCAGGAAAGGAAAAAUGUAAUUGGAGAAGAGAGGACUGCCUAUUGAGGUUUCAUGUACCCUUUUUGUUAUCCAAUUGCUCUUUUCUCUCUCCUCACAUGGUUCUCCUUUUCCUCCUUCACCUGCAUCUGGGCAGUAGAGACAUGUUAAAAUGGAUUAUUGCAACGAAGAAACUUAGAUUGCUGAACAAGUGUGUAUUUACGAGGACAUCCAUGAUACUAGGAUUUAAGUUGUGGGAAUUGUAAAGCAAUACAGCCAAGCAUCAUGAUACAUGAAAUAGUGUUUGCUGGAACUGGCCUUAUUGAGUUUUCAAAAACAAUUAAAAAUUCAAGUUCGAAGUUUGAGAAAUUCAAAAUAGCUCUGGAAAGCAGCUUAGAAAUCAUAUUUAUUGUAAUGCAGCAUUGUUGGAGACCCAAACCUCCAAUACCCUGGUGCUGCAUGAGGCGCACCUGCUCACUUGGAAUCAUCAAUUCGCUAAAGUGCAUGAACAAGGAGAUAGGGAUAGGGAUAGCAUGUCAUAUAUUUUGAAUUCUGUUAGAACCAUGUCAAAGAAUACUAUUCAACAAGGCAAUAGGGAUAGCAAUUUCUGGAAGAAAAUGAAGAUUCAAGGGAAAAAAAUACUAGAAAAUCUCUGUUAAAAAAAGCAGGAACACAAACCUUCCCACAUUCCAUCGUGUUCGCCAAAUCAACACAGGCCUUCUAUUUCAACCUGCUGCUGUUAAAUCCAGUUCAACCAAAAUAACCUGCUAAUGAAAAAAGUAAUCUUAUUCAGAUGUGAAAAUAUUACAUUCUCCUUCUAAAGUUUUGAGCGAUCAACGAGAGGCACUCGUGCAAGACGCAUCGAUGCACA
Molecule: long non-coding RNA, 1388 nt
Filed under: Elaeis guineensis (African oil palm)
Lineage: Eukaryota; Viridiplantae; Streptophyta; Magnoliopsida; Arecales; Arecaceae
Description: long non-coding RNA (EGUI_LNC013686)
Source: RNAcentral